UACGUAGGGUGCGAGCGUUAUCCGGAAUUAUUGGGCGUAAAGAGCUCGUAGGCGGUUUGUCGCGUCGGCUGUGAAAACCUGGGGCUCAACCCCGGGCCUGCAGCCGAUACGGGCAAACUAGAAUUCGGUAGGGGAGACUGGAAUUCCUGGUGUAGCGGUGAAAUGCGCAGAUAUCAAGAGGAACACCAGUGGCGAAGGCGAGUCCCUGGACAACUUCUGACGCUGAGGCACGAAAGCUAGGGGAGCAAACAGG
RNAcentral lists this ribosomal RNA (253 nucleotides) under uncultured bacterium. Its description in RNAcentral is "partial 16S ribosomal RNA". It matches the Rfam family "Bacterial small subunit ribosomal RNA", at positions 524 to 776 of the family's 1533-position model. The record is from RNAcentral.